This 375-nucleotide ribosomal RNA is filed under the name uncultured bacterium. RNAcentral describes it as "bacterial SSU rRNA". It matches the Rfam family "Bacterial small subunit ribosomal RNA", at positions 521 to 896 of the family's 1533-position model. The record is from RNAcentral.
UAAUACGGAGGGUGCGAGCGUUAAUCGGAAUUACUGGGCGUAAAGCGUGCGCAGGCGGUUAUGUAAGACAGAGGUGAAAUCCCCGGGCUCAACCUGGGAACUGCCUUUGUGACUGCAUAGCUGGAGUACGGCAGAGGGGGAUGGAAUUCCGCGUGUAGCAGUGAAAUGCGUAGAUAUGCGGAGGAACACCGAUGGCGAAGGCAGUCCCCUGGGCCUGUACUGACGCUCAUGCACGAAAGCGUGGGGAGCAAACAGGAUUAGAUACCCUGGUAGUCCACGCCCUAAACGAUGUCAACUGGUUGUUGGGUCUUAGCUGACUCAGUAACGAAGCUAACGCGUGAANUUGACCGCCUGGGGAGUACGGCCGCAAGGUUG